Vicia faba (fava bean) is the source of this 237-nucleotide non-coding RNA. The record is from the annotation of a GenBank genome assembly. NCBI's taxonomy places the organism in Eukaryota, Viridiplantae, Streptophyta, Magnoliopsida, Fabales, Fabaceae.
AUGAUUCAAUUGUUACCAGUUCUUCACAGAUCUGAUGGAGAUCUACACACCACACCAAUGGUAUACCAGUUCUUCACAGAUCUACACACCGAUGGUUCAAUUGAUGCCAGUUCAAUCAUACCAGUUCGUCACAGAUCUGAUGGAGAUCUAAACACUGAUGUUCUUCACAGUUCUUCACAGAUCCGAUAUCAUUUGUUAAGACCUACUUUCCAUUUCCUCUUUAGGUGUCGUGGUUGA